RNAcentral lists this ribosomal RNA (548 nucleotides) under uncultured bacterium. Its description in RNAcentral is "bacterial SSU rRNA". It matches the Rfam family "Bacterial small subunit ribosomal RNA", at positions 356 to 896 of the family's 1533-position model. The record is from RNAcentral.
GGGGAAUAUUGGACAAUGGGGGAAACCCUGAUCCAGCGACGCCGCGUGUGUGAAGAAGGCCUGCGGGUUGUAAAGCACUUUUAGUGGGGAUGAAAAGCUCAGGGAUAACACCUCUGGGUCUUGACCUAACCCACAGAAAAAGCACCGGCUAACUCUGUGCCAGCAGCCGCGGUAAUACAGAGGGUGCGAGCGUUAAUCGGAAUUACUGGGCGUAAAGCGAACGUAGACGGUUGGAUAAGUCAGAUGUGAAAGCCCCGGGCUCAACCUGGGAAUGGCAUUUGAGACUGUGCAGCUAGGGUGCGGAAGAGGGAAGCGGAAUUUCCGGUGUAGCGGUGAAAUGCGUAGAUAUCGGAAGGAACACCAGUGGCGAAAGCGGCUUCCUGGUCCAGCACCGACGUUCAGGUUCGAAAGCAUGGGGAGCAAACAGGAUUAGAUACCCUGGUAGUCCAUGCCAUAAACGAUGAGGACUAGACGUUGAGGGGGUAAGCCUCCCAGUGUCGUAGCUAACGCGCUAAGUCCUCCGCCUGGGGAGUACGGCCGCAAGGUUG